Vicugna pacos (alpaca) is the source of this 4786-nucleotide non-coding RNA. Lineage: Eukaryota; Metazoa; Chordata; Mammalia; Artiodactyla; Camelidae. The record is from RefSeq and is a predicted model, not a curated record.
ACAAGUCCUUCCCUGAGAGCCAGAGAGCUUGCUCGCCAUCGGGAUGUGAGCUGCGGCAGGAAGGAUGUCAGCACAGGCCCGCUGGGCCUCACGACCCUCCACCUGCGGACGUCGCUCUCUGAGGGAGGACGCACACCCCCCGUCCCCGCCAGGUGAUUUUCCUUUCGGCUUUUCCUACCCUGCCGUCCACCUCUGCACCCACCCCCGGCCCCAAGCACAAACACUGUGAUUAAAAAGGGAAAAAAACUGGCUAGGAACCGAGAGACACUUUCUGAAGUAAAUGCGAAACCACAAGAGGCCGGGCCGAGUGCCCGCGCGCGCGCUGAGACGCCCGAGGCGACGCCCGCGGACCGGGCUGGCGUGACACCCGCGGCCACAGCCCUCGGGCGCCUCACGACACCGGGCGGAGAGCUGCGAGGACUCGAUCACGUGAAGGAAAGGCAGGCCUGAGGCAGAAACUUGGUAAGAGACAGAAGCCUUCAGAAGUGAAAACCCGCAAUGAACAUUGGGGGUUGGGCCCCAAACCUCAGAGGGAUGGUUGGUGGAGGGAGGCCGUCAGGCAGGCAGACAUCUCCACUUCACGUUCUGGAGGUCUGAAAUGUUUGCUAAACAAAGAGCAUGUAUUUGUUUUACCACGCGCACAUAGAAGGAUUAUGGAAGAUGCAUUAUGCCUAUCAGCUACUGCAUAAAAGAAAUUAAAUUAUAGCCCGAAGAAAUUAUAAAAAAAGAGCAGAGAAACCAGAACCGAAGGACCUGAAUGCCCCUCUCAACUUUCUGCUUCUCAGAUUAGUCACGUGAAAAAUGGAGACAUUAUAAUACUUACCAGCUGCGGUCACCCCAGGAAGAUUACACGAGAUGGUAUGGUAUGAAAAUGGGUAGAUCUUUGGGCAAAGUCACCCAGCAGGUUAGCAGCAGAGCCGAGACAAGAAGCUCCCAGUAUGCGAGGAUACAGUGAGAAGAUAGCAGUCUGCAACCCAAAAGAGGGACCUCACCAGAACCCAGCCAUCCUGGCACCCUGAUCGUAGACUUUCAGCCUCUAGAACUGUGAGGGAUAAGUUUCUGUUGCUUAUUGACCACCCAGUCUAUGGCAGUUUGUUAAAGCAGCCAGAACUGACUAAGACAGUAGGUAAACUUGACAGAUGUGGUGAUGGGAAUUUUAACCUCUAACGACCUAUAAUGUCUGAGUACAGCUUUCUAGUCCAAAGAAUUUAGCAAUACUGUGAAGUCAACAGACUAAAAAAAUUUUAAAGGAACUUGUAUGUAAUCUAGUCAUCUUUCCUUCCUUCUUUUAAUUUUGAACUCCCUGGAAAAAGUUGUUGGUCCUAAAUAAAAUUGAAGUAUUGAAUCAGACACAUUCUUUUUAAUGUAGAUUUUAUAAAAAGAAACACUUUUAACUUCUGAGGAAAUACUCACAAUUUAAAAAAUAAUAAUAAAUAAAAUGUUUUUAUUGUUAGACAAUUGUCAGGAUUCAGCUGGAACACAGUGUAAGGAAUGUACGAACUUCAGCUGUCCAUAAUGUGGAAAAGGUGAAACGUUCAAGGCAGCAGAUCUGGCCUUGGGAGCUGAUGGAAGUGACUUAAUCUCUUGGAAUCUGAGUUGCUUUAGCUGCUAAACCAAGGAUAACCUCUGCCUUUACAGGACUGGUGUGAGCUUUAGAUGAGAUAAUAUAGGGAAAGCUGUUGGUAUAAAAUAGCUAUUCAAAAAAUUGCAGUUAUCAUUAUUAAAUCUAUCAUUUGAGCUUUUUCUGAGGACAAACAUAUUAACUGAUAAAUUUCCUCCAUUUACAUAACUAGAGGGGGAAUCGGGGCAGGCACAUGGGGCUGCUCUCUCUCUGUACUAUUUUUGGAACUUCAUGUGAAUCUAUAAUUAAAGUAAAAAGUUACAGUGAAUUUCUUCUGUCUAGAGUUCUAUGGGAAGUACCUGUACCUUCCUACCUAGUGCAACGGCAGGAUUGCUGUUAUCAUUCAUUUGAAUGAUAAUGAAAUCCUGCUAUUCAUCUUAGGAGUGGAUGUUGCACUGAAAAAAGCAUUGAAACUAUGAAUCCAAGUACUUGAGACAACUUACUUCACAAUCAAGGCAUCUGUAAAAUUAGGAUAUAUAUUUAAUCUCUCUCAGCUCUAUGAUUUUCUAAGUCUUAUGGUACAAAGCAACAGUUAAUUCAAAGAAAUAUAAACUACCAACCUUUGCUAAAUAAAUAUGCUAAGAAUGAUUAAAGAAUAAAUAUUUACUUACUGCAUAGUAUAACUUAACAUAGUAUAAAGGGAGAAAUUAAAAUAUUAUAUACAUGUUAAGAUUAUUGUACUUAAAAUGUUAUAUAAAUCCAAAUUUUUAUAUUUAAAAUAUUAUAUGGAUUCAAAAUGUGAAAUCAGAUGCCUACCUACAGAGCUGGGUACAUUUUUGAUCACAAAAAAAUGCACUAUUGUCAAUCUACAUGUUAAAUACUAAUAAAGUUUGAUUUCUUAAUUUAGAUUAAAAUAGAGAUAGUCUAAUAAUUUCUUCCCACAUUCCAACUGCUUGAGGGGUCAGAUUUGUUAUAGGAAAUUUCCUUGUCUAUAUUCUGGGACUACACCGGUUGAAAUCUCUGUUCUGAUCAUUGUUGCCGUAAUCACAAUUUAACGUUAAGUUCUCUGUUAGCAGUAUGUUUCAGUGGUAGAUAUCAGAGAAAGUCUAUGCUAUAAAAUGUCUUACUGUUUUUCAUCAUUUAGGAAUAAUCUCAGGACUAAGAACUUCAGGUCUUUUAAAAAGUAUUGAUUUUAUGUAAAAAAUACCCAAAUUUUUGAAAAAUACUAAUUUCUAAAGCAGUGUUAUUUCUGUAGAGAAAGAAUAACUAUAUAGGUUGAUUUGUAAAUUAUGUAUGGCAUUUUGUAUGGAACUGGUUUCUGAUUAUUUUACUCUCUAAAUGGUGACUCAAAUGCCUUAAAUACAAAGUAGUUUGGAUAAAGGGAAAAAGUGGCAGGAAACAUGUUUGAAUGUUUGAAUUAGAAAUCAAUCCUGUUGCAUGAAUCAACUCUAAACUUGUUGAAUGAUGAAUUUUAGCUUUGGUGGUGAUCAGAAGGAAAGUCUUUUCCUGAACAGAAAAAUAACAGUGAUUUUUUUUUUUAAUGCAGACUCAGUAUUAUGCUGCUUUGCCACAAGGAAAAGAGGAAGCUGAAACGUGAUUGAUCAGAACACAGGAAAAGGUGAUUUGAAGCCUUUUUGGAUUAGGUAUCAAUCACACUUAAAAGAUGUGUUUAUCCAGGCUGUCAGGCCGAAGAGAACUGGUACAAACCAUUCAAAAUGUUUAUGUUCAUGUUUUUCAAUGCAGUUCAAUGCAGUAAGCAUAUGUGAGGAACUAAAGGCCCAUAAUCAACAUUAAUUUGAUUCCACAACCAUUUCUUAAGCAUUUUGCGGUACAGAAAUUAAUAAGGCAUGAUCUGUGCCCUCCAGAGUUUCACAAUCUAGUGAGAUAUCAUCACAAAUCAUUGUUAUAUUAAGAAGGUAUGUUUAGUGAUAACCCCACCUCAUCUGACUACUUUCUUUAGUCUGGCCACCCUCUCCCUUAAAUACUGUUAAAGAAGUGCCUUCUGAUUAUCCUUUUCAAAUCAAAACUCCAAGCUGUCCUUUCAGUUAUGGUUAUGUCAUAGUUUAUAUUAAAAGGCCAAAGGAUAGCUGGUUGUUUGGGGCGGGGGGAGUUUAUCUUACGCACCACCAUGCAUAAAAGCAAAUAAAUGCAAGCCUCCUUCUGGGGCUCAGAGGACUAUACUCUGAUGAUAGACAUAAAAGUCUGCCAAAUAUAGCAGCUGCAGUAAAAGCAGCUAGACAUUCUGGAAUGAUGCUUAUCCAAUACAAAGGCCAGACCAAACGAAAGACUGACAUGGUCAUUCUAGGUUGAAAUCUCGGUUAUUCCAUCUGGCUGUGCUACUUUAGGCAAAUCAUUUAAACGUUGAACCUGUGUCCUCAUUUAAGCGCCAGCGUGAAAGCAAUCAGCUCACUUCAUGGGAACAGCUAGUAACCGUGGAGCAUUUUACCAAAACCCACUCAGGCCAACGUAAGUGUAGUAAAGUGGGAGAAACCACUGCAAGUUACAAAGCUGUAAUGCAUUUUACUAAAAUCUAAGGCCAGAAGAAGUGCAGUGUAAUAUAAGAAACUACUUCAAAUUGGAGAGUGUGGUUGUUCCAGAAGACCUUGUUCGCAAGGUAACUCAGAUCACCCGUUCAGCCUCAUCACUGUUUAUUUCAGCCUUUGUAGAAAGGUAAAGGACUUCAGCCCCAUGGCAUUGAGGGGAAAGCAGGGAAGCCACGUGAAGCGAUCCGAGCUCCCUGAUAGUGGGACCACUAGAAAAGCUGGGAUAGGCUGGAGAGAGGGAGUGUGGAAACGGUUGCUGCAGCAGCAUCCCUAGGCCUCAGCCUUCCGGGUCAGGUAUCACCAAAUUCCCAAGACUUUGGGGACCGGAACCCUGGAGGUGGGGGCGUCCCACUGGAGAAUCCCGGGAAAAGGGCGGAGAUGGACCCAGCCAGGGGUGCGGUAUUCAGUUCUAGGGAUCCGCUUGGAGCCGAGAGGGAGUCGGCGAGAAAGGGGCGGGGGCGGCAGUGGGCAGCCGGGAGGAGAGGAGGGGCGAGACGCCGUCGUCGGCCCCCUCCCCUCGCCUCCGGUGCGCUCCCCUCGUGCGUGCUCCCCUCCUCUCCCCUCCCCGGCAGGGCAACCGAGCGCAUCCCGCCGAGGCCAGGCCGCUGCAAGGGGAGGCGCCAACUCGUCGCAGCGCCGGGCCCCCGACCGAGCAGUAACGGCGACCCAGGAGGCGGGGCGG